GGUGAUGAGGUGGUGGUCCUAAGACAGGCUGUCCAAAGCUAGGUUCUCCAUAUCAUGUACCAUAGGUGUUGUAAGGAGAAUAGACUCCACGAGCAUAAGCAGGUGCAGGAGGUCCAAAGUGACCGUUGGAAACAGGACCAUUUGUGGAAGCACUACCUCGAGAAUCCAUUGAAGCCUUCGACUAAGAAAUAUUAGCUUCACAACCACUAUUGAUUUCCAAAUCUUUUAUGCCUUUCUCUAUUCGAACCUCUUGUGACAUAAGAAGUGCUUCAAUCUCAGCCACGGUGUAAGCUUCUGUUCUUGUGUUGAUAGAAGUGAUGAACACUUCAUAAUCCUUGGAUAAGCCAUUGAAGAUGGCUUCAAUAUGAUCUUGAGCAGUGAACACAUGACUAAUGGAGGCCAAGGUAUCAACAAUCCUCUCGAUCUUCAAAAGACAAUCAUCAAGAUUUCCAGUCAUCCGAGUAUUGCGCAGAAGCGUUUGAAUUGCCCAUUCUUGGCUUGAUUUUGAGCUGUGUAGUGUUCACGGAGAGCUAUCUAGAUCUUAGCAGUGGUCUCAGAUCCAACCAUCCUAGUGAGGCUUUUCUCCGACAUCGACGAGAGAAGACAGUGAGAUACUUCGGUGGAGUGAGAGUUUCAUCAAGGUGCUUCAAGAGUCUACUACCUUUGAUUGCAUGAAAAAAUUUGCUCUUCCAUGGAAGGUAAUUGUGUUAAUCAAGACGAACAGAAAGAGAAUGAGAAAAGGUAACAGGAGAUGUUUUUGGUAACAAAGUUAUGGUUUGAUUUUGUGAAACUGUAGCAUUGGUUGGCAAGGACGAAUCACCAGAAGUAGUAUUCGAAGAGUUCACCAUUGUUGAAGACGAGAAAGCUCUGAUACCAUAUCAAGACUCAAAGAACAAAUUUGGAAAAAUGUGAUAAUCUUAUUGAAUGAAUUAAGUUACAGAGUUUAUAUA
Molecule: long non-coding RNA, 950 nt
Organism: Humulus lupulus (European hop)
Lineage: Eukaryota; Viridiplantae; Streptophyta; Magnoliopsida; Rosales; Cannabaceae
Exons: 2
Source: RefSeq, a predicted model, not a curated record